GGAUAUCUACACAGCUGACUGGUUAGAAAACGUGGCUAGAAGAAUCAAAGGUCAGUGAUUCUAUAUGUGCCUGCUACUUAGAUUUUGCACGAUCUCAUAAAAGCUUCAUGUACUUCAUUGAGAUGUCAAGAUAUCUUGCCAGCUGACUGGUUAGAAAACGUGGCUCCAUUUUGUACUGCGGUCACUUAGCCUGCAAUAACAUGGAAAAGUCUCACUCCUCUUCCAAGGAGUGGCGUCUGUCCUUCUGUUAUGUUGCUAUGGUGCUGGUAAUACCGAAAAAGGGUUUCUCCCUUCUUUAUAUUAUAAUAAAGCAACCAUCACUUUGGUGCUGGUAAUAUGUCCUAAAAUAAAUUAGCGGGGUUGUUCUAUUAGACACCUGUCCUUCUGCAGUUUGAAAUUUACUAGCUUCCUAUCUUUUGAUCUUGAAGUACGCUCUCCGAAUCAACGGGACUAAUACAGCUCACAAUAUUGAUUUCAUGUAAUUCUCACCUGGAAAUUACACAUGCUGGGAGCAUACACGUACACUAUCGUUCUUUGAUGCACUAACUUUAGUAAAUGAAGUCAUCGUGUUACAUUAGGAAUGUCUUUCACACUCAGCUAUUCAAGUUUUGUCCAAAAUUUAUUUCAAAUAGCUGUUCAAAUCUUUUGUGCAUCUGAAUUAAUAUGCCCAUUAUAUUCGAGGUUGUCCUAUAUUAUUAUUCAGUUUUUGUCUCACAUAUGUCAGUUUUUUGUACUAUCAAUUGUGUAGAAUGGCUGAUGACUAUUUGCAAGCCUCUUAUAUAUGGGCAAAUUAGGAAACUAAAUUUUAUUCAUCUAUUUUUUUGGGAGGGCUUCUGUGAUUUUUGAGGUGUCGACGGGUCUAACCCCGUCAUACUAUUUGUUUCUGUAAUGUUUGUGCAGGGAGAGACUGCUAUGUAUGCUAACUACAAAUCCAAUCCGAGGUAAAUAAAUCCUCUCUCGAAGCCGUUCGUUGCUUUAGUCUCGCUACAACAACUAUUAUACAUAUAUGUAUCUCUGCAAAUAGAUCAUAUUUUAUUUCCUUCCAUUGUUUGUAUUCAUGUGUGGUUUCAGACUUUGAUGUAUUAUUUCAGCUUAUACUACUUGGGCAGCUUAUGUUAUAUUUAAAGUGUGAACUUCUCAUACUUUUCCUGCUGUUGGGCAGUAACUGCAUUGUCAAUGAUCUUCCAGUCAUGGGAGUUUGCAAACCAGAACAUCGAUUACCUUUAGUUAGAGGAGGGGAUAGUGUAUUCUAACAAGAGAUGACUCAACCGAAAGAGUUCAGCAGGACAUUCAGAAAGAUUUGGUUAUAUCCGGAGCCAUCAUAGAAUCGUUGGUCUACAUGGAAGAGAGCAUAUCUAAGCUGGAGGCCAAAAGCGAAGUGCUUGAGUGUUGAGAAGCCACAAGGCUACUCCACCCACUCUCUCUUUAUCAAUAUCUAUACCAAUUAGCAGAUAGUGUACUCUCUUAAACCAGUGUUGACCCCGUUAUACCUUUUCAUUCAUCCUGUAUGCCUCCAAGUCAUGUAAUUGACCAAGUGACCCAUACUGUUUACUAUAUUAUUUUUACUUACCAAAACAGGAUAAACUA
Molecule: long non-coding RNA, 1587 nt
Filed under: Hordeum vulgare
Lineage: Eukaryota; Viridiplantae; Streptophyta; Magnoliopsida; Poales; Poaceae
Description: long non-coding RNA (HVUL_LNC006018)
Source: RNAcentral